RNAcentral lists this ribosomal RNA (612 nucleotides) under Escherichia coli. RNAcentral's name for it is "partial 23S ribosomal RNA". It matches the Rfam family "Bacterial large subunit ribosomal RNA", at positions 612 to 1224 of the family's 2925-position model. Lineage: Bacteria; Pseudomonadati; Pseudomonadota; Gammaproteobacteria; Enterobacterales; Enterobacteriaceae. The record is from RNAcentral.
AUAAUGGGUCAGCGACUUAUAUUCUGUAGCAAGGUUAACCGAAUAGGGGAGCCGAAGGGAAACCGAGUCUUAACUGGGCGUUAAGUUGCAGGGUAUAGACCCGAAACCCGGUGAUCUAGCCAUGGGCAGGUUGAAGGUUGGGUAACACUAACUGGAGGACCGAACCGACUAAUGUUGAAAAAUUAGCGGAUGACUUGUGGCUGGGGGUGAAAGGCCAAUCAAACCGGGAGAUAGCUGGUUCUCCCCGAAAGCUAUUUAGGUAGCGCCUCGUGAAUUCAUCUCCGGGGGUAGAGCACUGUUUCGGCAAGGGGGUCAUCCCGACUUACCAACCCGAUGCAAACUGCGAAUACCGGAGAAUGUUAUCACGGGAGACACACGGCGGGUGCUAACGUCCGUCGUGAAGAGGGAAACAACCCAGACCGCCAGCUAAGGUCCCAAAGUCAUGGUUAAGUGGGAAACGAUGUGGGAAGGCCCAGACAGCCAGGAUGUUGGCUUAGAAGCAGCCAUCAUUUAAAGAAAGCGUAAUAGCUCACUGGUCGAGUCGGCCUGCGCGGAAGAUGUAACGGGGCUAAACCAUGCACCGAAGCUGCGGCAGCGACGCUUAUGCGUUGU